UCCAGGAAAAGCCACUAAGCGAAAGGCUUUACUAAACCGUACUGAAAACCGACACAGGUGGUCAGGUAGAGAAUACUCAGGCGCUUGAGAGAACUCGGGUGAAGGAACUAGGCAAAAUAGCACCGUAACUUCGGGAGAAGGUGCGCCGGCGUAGAUUGUAAGGGCUAGCCCCUGAAGGUUGAACCGGUCGAAGUGACCCGCUGGCUGCAACUGUUUAUUAAAAACACAGCACUCUGCAAACACGAAAGUGGACGUAUAGGGUGUGAUGCCUGCCCGGUGCUGGAAGGUUAAUUGAUGGUGUCAUCGAAAGAGAAGCACCUGAUCGAAGCCCCAGUAAACGGCGGCCGUAACUAUAACGGUCCUAAGGUAGCGAAAUUCCUUGUCGGGUAAGUUCCGACCUGCACGAAUGGCAUAAUGAUGGCCAGGCUGUCUCCACCCGAGACUCAGUGAAAUUGAAAUCGCCGUGAAGAUGCGGUGUACCCGCGGCUAGACGGAAAGACCCCGUGAACCUUUACUAUAGCUUGACACUGAACAUUGAAUUUUGAUGUGUAGGAUAGGUGGGAGACUUAGAAGUAGGAACGCCAGUUUCUAUGGAGUCAUCCUUGAAAUACCACCCUUUAACGUUUGAUGUUCUAACGAAGAUGACGAAACGUGGUCUCGGACAGUGUCUGGUGGGUAGUUUGACUGGGGCGGUCUCCUCCCAAAGCGUAACGGAGGAGCACGAAGGUUUGCUAAUCACGGUCGGACAUCGUGAGGUUAGUGCAAUGGUAUAAGCAAGCUUAACUGCGAGACAGACAAGUCGAGCAGGUACGAAAGUAGGUCAUAGUGAUCCGGUGGUUCUGAAUGGAAGGGCCAUCGCUCAACGGAUAAAAGGUACUCCGGGGAUAACAGGCUGAUACCGCCCAAGAGUUCAUAUCGACGGCGGUGUUUGGCACCUCGAUGUCGGCUCAUCACAUCCUGGGGCUGAAGUAGGUCCCAAGGGUAUGGCUGUUCGCCAUUUAAAGUGGUACGCGAGCUGGGUUUAGAACGUCGUGAGACAGUUCGGUCCCUAUCUGCCGUGGGCGUAGGAGAAUUGGUUGGGGCUGCUCCUAGUACGAGAGGACCGGAGUGGACGCACCACUGGUGUUCCGGUUGUGUCGCCAGACGCAUUGCCGGGUAGCUAAGUGCGGAAGAGAUAAGUGCUGAAAGCAUCUAAGCACGAAACUUGCCAAGAGAUGAGUUCUCCCAGAUUAUAAAUCUGUAAGGGUUGUUUAAGACGAAGACGUAGAUAGGUCUGGUGUGUAAGUGAUGUGAGUCAUUGAGCUAACAGAUACUAAUUGCCCGAGAGGCUUAACU
RNAcentral lists this ribosomal RNA (1335 nucleotides) under Haemophilus influenzae PittII. RNAcentral's name for it is "bacterial LSU rRNA". It matches the Rfam family "Bacterial large subunit ribosomal RNA", at positions 1607 to 2925 of the family's 2925-position model. The record is from RNAcentral. Lineage: Bacteria; Pseudomonadati; Pseudomonadota; Gammaproteobacteria; Pasteurellales; Pasteurellaceae.